This 465-nucleotide ribosomal RNA is filed under the name uncultured Klebsiella sp. Its description in RNAcentral is "bacterial SSU rRNA". It matches the Rfam family "Bacterial small subunit ribosomal RNA", at positions 338 to 795 of the family's 1533-position model. Lineage: Bacteria; Pseudomonadati; Pseudomonadota; Gammaproteobacteria; Enterobacterales; Enterobacteriaceae. The record is from RNAcentral.
CCUACGGGUGGCAGCAGUGGGGAAUAUUGCACAAUGGGCGCAAGCCUGAUGCAGCCAUGCCGCGUGUGUGAAGAAGGCCUUCGGGUUGUAAAGCACUUUCAGCGGGGAGGAAGGCGUUAAGGUUAAUAACCUUGGCGAUUGACGUUACCCGCAGAAGAAGCACCGGCUAACUCCGUGCCAGCAGCCGCGGUAAUACGGAGGGUGCAAGCGUUAAUCGGAAUUACUGGGCGUAAAGCGCACGCAGGCGGUCUGUCAAGUCGGAUGUGAAAUCCCCGGGCUCAACCUGGGAACUGCAUUCGAAACUGGCAGGCUAGAGUCUAGUAGAGGGGGGUAGAAUUCCAGGUGUAGCGGUGAAAUGCGUAGAGAUCUGGAGGAAUACCGGUGGCGAAGGCGGCCCCCUGGACAAAGACUGACGCUCAGGUGCGAAAGCGUGGGGAGCAAACAGGAUUAGAUACCCCGGUAGUC